RNAcentral lists this ribosomal RNA (448 nucleotides) under uncultured bacterium. RNAcentral describes it as "bacterial SSU rRNA". It matches the Rfam family "Bacterial small subunit ribosomal RNA", at positions 335 to 798 of the family's 1533-position model. The record is from RNAcentral.
ACUCCUACGGGAGGCAGCAGUGGGGAAUAUUGCACAAUGGGCGCAAGCCUGAUGCAGCAACGCCGUGUGAGUGAAGAAGGUUUUCGGAUCGUAAAACUCUGUCCUAAGGGAAGAAACAAAUGACGGUACCUUAGGAGGAAGCCCCGGCUAACUACGUGCCAGCAGCCGCGGUAAUACGUAGGGGCAAGCGUUAUCCGGAAUCACUGGGCGUAAAGGGUGCGUAGGCGGCUUAGCAAGCCAGGGGUGAAAGGCAUUGGCUCAACCAAUGUAAGCCUUUGGAACUGUUAAGCUUGAGUGCAGGAGAGGUAAGUGGAAUUCCUAGUGUAGAGGUGAAAUUCGUAGAUAUUAGGAGGAACACCAGUGGCGAAGGCGACUUACUGGACUGUAACUGACGCUGAUGCACGAAAGCGUGGGUAGCGAACAGGAUUAGAUACCCUGUAGCGACUGA